This 253-nucleotide ribosomal RNA is filed under the name uncultured bacterium. Its description in RNAcentral is "partial 16S ribosomal RNA". It matches the Rfam family "Bacterial small subunit ribosomal RNA", at positions 524 to 776 of the family's 1533-position model. The record is from RNAcentral.
UACGGAGGGUGCAAGCGUUAUCCGGAUUUACUGGGUUUAAAGGGUGCGUAGGUGGGUAGGAAAGUCAGUGGUGAAAUCUUCGGGCUUAACCCGGAAACUGCCAUUGAUACUAUUUAUCUUGAAUACUUUGGAGGUAAGCGGAAUAUGUCAUGUAGCGGUGAAAUGCUUAGAUAUGGCAUAGAACACCAAUUGCGAAGGCAGCUUACUACACAGUUAUUGACACUGAGGCACGAAAGCGUGGGGAUCAAACAGG